UACGAAGGGUGCUAGCGUUGUUCGGAUUUACUGGGCGUAAAGCGUGCGUAGGUGGCUUUACAAGUCAGGGGUGAAAUCCUGGGGCUCAACCCCAGAAUUGCCUUUGAAACUGUAGAGCUAGAGUAUCGGAGGGGAUAGCGGAAUUGCUAAUGUAGAGGUGAAAUUCGUAGAUAUUCGGAAGAACACCGGUGGCGAAGGCGGCUCACUGGACCGAUACUGACGCUGAGGCGCGAAAGCGUGGGGAGCAAACAGG
This 253-nucleotide ribosomal RNA is filed under the name uncultured bacterium. RNAcentral describes it as "partial 16S ribosomal RNA". It matches the Rfam family "Bacterial small subunit ribosomal RNA", at positions 524 to 776 of the family's 1533-position model. The record is from RNAcentral.